RNAcentral lists this ribosomal RNA (253 nucleotides) under uncultured bacterium. RNAcentral describes it as "partial 16S ribosomal RNA". It matches the Rfam family "Bacterial small subunit ribosomal RNA", at positions 524 to 776 of the family's 1533-position model. The record is from RNAcentral.
UACGGGGGGAGCAAGCGUUGUUCGGAUUUACUGGGCGUAAAGGGCGCGUAGGCGGCCCGCUAAGUCGAACGUGAAAUCCCCGAGCUCAACUCGGGAACUGCGUCCGAUACUGGUGGGCUUGAAUCCGGGAGAGGGAUGCGGAAUUCCAGGUGUAGCGGUGAAAUGCGUAGAUAUCUGGAGGAACACCGGUGGCGAAGGCGGCAUCCUGGACCGGCAUUGACGCUGAGGCGCGAAAGCUAGGGGAGCAAACGGG